GAUUUCUUUAAGUUGAGUCAAAAAGGAGGAAGUCCAAAUGACUCACCGCUAUGGUGCCACCACACCUCCUUGGUCCUCCUCUCCGAUCUCACUCAGGAGAAUGUGGAGCCGUUUGAACAAACUGUUCUUCUGGUGCAUUUCUUCUUCUCUCAUAUCUCAAAAUGCUGCCCUGGCUUGUGAGGGAGAAACAAGUGAAUUCCCUUCUCCACAUUUGGAGUCAAAAACGAAUGCAGUCAUGAAGGGUCAAAAUGUAUCUCUGAUUUGUUCCAACCACAACAAAUCACCACAGAUCACCUAUUCUUUGUUUCGGCAUACGAAACACCUGGAAACCCGGGAGGGAAAAAGUGAACCCAUUAUUUUUAACCUAAGUAUCUCAGAAGCCUGUGAUUUGGGCCCCUACAAAUGCAAAACCCAAGUUUCUAACUGUUCAACAUACAGUCUCGAGUUCAGCUUCACAUUUGUUGACCCAGUGACCACACCAGUGCUGAGCAUUAAUGUUGUGCAAGUACAAACAGAUCGAAAUAUAACACUACGUUGCAUCUCAUUUAAUGGUUCUCUGCCCAUCAAUUAUACUUUCUUUGAAAAAGACAUUGCCGUAUCACCAGCUAUUUCCAAGUCUGUAAGGGAGCCUGCUGAAUUUCACCUAACCAAGAAGAACACUGGAAAAGGGGAAGAAUAUAGGUGUAAAGCUAAAAACAGAUUGCUUGGCCAUGCAAAAUACAGUCAACCAUGCUUCACCACACCCUCAACAGGCAGAGACAGCUGUCCUUUCUGCCUGCAGCUACUGCUUCCAGGGUUAUUACUGGUGCUAAUAGUAAUGAUCCUAAUUCUGGCACUGUGGAUACUACCGAAGUACAAAGCAAGAAAAACCAUGAGAGAUAAGGCAGCCAAAGACUACGGAAACAUGCCCAUGGAUGUUGGAAUAUAUGCAAAUACCUGUGCAAAUCAAGCAGAGGAGGAAUCUGUGCCAGGCUUGGAACCAAGGCAGUGGGUUUCCACAACCCAAGACGGAGCUGGACACUCUCAGGAGAUACAUUAUGCCACCCCCAUGUUCCAGCAGGUGGCACCAGGAGAUCAUGGAGCCUGUAAUGAUUAUAAAACUGGAUAUGUCUAUUCUGAACUCAUCUUCUGAAAUGUAAAGAUACAAAUUACAUCUCAGGAAUAUAUGUAAGAAUAGAAUUACUGGGCCACCGGAGGAUGUUCAGCUCCAACAAGUGGACAAUGUCGUUUCCAAAGUGGUUCUACCGCCGAUUCACACCCCAAGCAGCGUGAGAGCUGAUUCCCCCACAUCUUCAGUUUUCACGUAACCAUUCUUGCAGAUGCUGCUUCUGCCACAACUGCUUCAUGCCCAGAAAAUGGAGCCCAGACAGUGGAGUGUGGAGCUUUGCCACUGCAGACGUUUGCUUCUCAGCAACAACUGCCGCCUCUCUUCUACUUUCCAGAUCCUGGGCAUAGGCAUCUGACUGGUGGAAGAUAUUGAUAGCCUGGCAGCAAGGGAACUGUAAUUAGGUUUCUGACCCCAGCAAACGGAAGGAGGGUUACAAUGUGGUAUAAGAGAGCCAAUCAGAAUGUCGACCACACAGGCCAAAGUAUCAGUAUCAAGGGUCAAAUAAAUAUGUUUUAAGACAA
Manis pentadactyla (Chinese pangolin) is the source of this 1629-nucleotide RNA transcript. It is a transcript of the gene named mast cell immunoglobulin like receptor 1, with no coding region annotated. The record is from RefSeq and is a predicted model, not a curated record. NCBI's taxonomy places the organism in Eukaryota, Metazoa, Chordata, Mammalia, Pholidota, Manidae. The transcript is spliced from 11 exons.